Molecule: ribosomal RNA, 305 nt
Filed under: uncultured bacterium
Lineage: Bacteria
Description: bacterial SSU rRNA
Rfam family: Bacterial small subunit ribosomal RNA
Source: RNAcentral
GUACCUACGGGGGCAGCAGUGAGGAAUAUUGGUCAAUGGGCGCGAGCCUGAACCAGCCAAGUCGCGUGAGGGAUGACGGCCCUACGGGUUGUAAACCUCUUUUGUCGGGGAGCAAAUUCCGCCACGUGUGGCGGAGUCGAGAGUACCCGAAGAAAAAGCAUCGGCUAACUCCGUGCCAGCAGCCGCGGUAAUACGGAGGAUGCGAGCGUUAUCCGGAUUUAUUGGGUUUAAAGGGUGCGUAGGCGGACUGUCAAGUCAGCGGUAAAAUACGGGGGCUCAACCUCCGCCCGCCGUUGCAACUGGCA